RNAcentral lists this ribosomal RNA (253 nucleotides) under uncultured bacterium. RNAcentral's name for it is "partial 16S ribosomal RNA". It matches the Rfam family "Bacterial small subunit ribosomal RNA", at positions 524 to 776 of the family's 1533-position model. The record is from RNAcentral.
UACGAAGGGGACUAGCGUUGUUUGGAAUUACUGGGCGUAAAGCGCACGUAGGCGGAUUCGUAAGUCAGGGGUGAAAUCCCGGGGCUCAACCUCGGAACUGCCUUUGAUACUGCGGAUCUCGAGUCCGAUAGAGGUGGGUGGAAUUCCUAGUGUAGAGGUGAAAUUCGUAGAUAUUAGGAAGAACACCGGUGGCGAAGGCGGCCCACUGGAUCGGUACUGACGCUGAGGUGCGAAAGCGUGGGGAGCAAACAGG